GUGGAUCUCUUUGAGUUUGAGGCC
This 24-nucleotide non-coding RNA is filed under the name Cricetulus griseus (Chinese hamster). The record is from RNAcentral. Lineage: Eukaryota; Metazoa; Chordata; Mammalia; Rodentia; Cricetidae.